UCGGGGGUCGUCCAAUGGCAGGACAUCUGGUUUUGGUCCAGAGAAUGGGGGUUCGACUCCUCCCCCCCGAGCCA
Molecule: transfer RNA, 74 nt
Filed under: Acidimicrobiales bacterium
Lineage: Bacteria; Bacillati; Actinomycetota; Acidimicrobiia; Acidimicrobiales
Also listed under: 2 other names
Description: tRNA-Gln
Rfam family: tRNA
About the family: Transfer RNA (tRNA) molecules are approximately 80 nucleotides in length. Their secondary structure includes four short double-helical elements and three loops (D, anti-codon, and T loops).
Source: RNAcentral